GCCUAGCCCUAAAUCUUGGCACUUCCCCUACUAAAGUGCCCGCCCGAGAACUACGAGCACAAACGCUUAAAACUCUAAGGACUUGGCGGUGCCCCAAACCCACCUAGAGGAGCCUGUUCUAUAAUCGAUAACCCACGAUUCACCCGACCGUCCCUUGCCAAAACAGCCUACAUACCGCCGUCGUCAGCCCACCUUCGUGAAAGAGCAACAGUGAGCGCAAUAGCUUCCCCCCGCUAGCAAGACAGGUCGAGGUAUAGCCCAUGGGGCGGAAGAAAUGGGCUACAUUUUCUGAAACAGAAAAUUUAACGAAAGGGGGCGUGAAACCGCCCCCGAAAGGCGGAUUUAGCAGUAAAGCGGGACAAUAGAGCCCCCUUUAAACCGGCCCUGAGGCACGU
Molecule: ribosomal RNA, 395 nt
Filed under: Phalacrocorax penicillatus (Brandt's cormorant)
Lineage: Eukaryota; Metazoa; Chordata; Aves; Suliformes; Phalacrocoracidae
Description: Urile penicillatus (Brandt's cormorant) partial 12S small subunit ribosomal RNA
Rfam family: Bacterial small subunit ribosomal RNA
Source: RNAcentral